GACGAACGCUGGCGGCGUGCCUAAUACAUGCAAGUAGAACGCUGAAGAGAGGAGCUUGCUCUUCUUGGAUGAGUUGCGAACGGGUGAGUAACGCGUAGGUAACCUGCCUUGUAGCGGGGGAUAACUAUUGGAAACGAUAGCUAAUACCGCAAAACAAUGGAUGACACAUGUCAUUUAUUUGAAAGGGGCAAUUGCUCCACUACAAGAUGGACCUGCGUUGUAUUAGCUAGUAGGUGAGGUAAUGGCUCACCUAGGCGACGAUACAUAGCCGACCUGAGAGGGUGAUCGGCCACACUGGGACUGAGACACGGCCCAGACUCCUACGGGAGGCAGCAGUAGGGAAUCUUCGGCAAUGGGGGCAACCCUGACCGAGCAACGCCGCGUGAGUGAAGAAGGUUUUCGGAUCGUAAAGCUCUGUUGUAAGUCAAGAACGGGUGUGAGAGUGGAAAGUUCACACUGUGACGGUAGCUUACCAGAAAGGGACGGCUAACUACGUG
This 497-nucleotide ribosomal RNA is filed under the name uncultured bacterium. RNAcentral describes it as "partial 16S ribosomal RNA". It matches the Rfam family "Bacterial small subunit ribosomal RNA", at positions 28 to 507 of the family's 1533-position model. The record is from RNAcentral.